CAGUAGCCGCGGUAAUACGGAAGGUCCAGGCGUUAUCCGGAUUUAUUGGGUUUAAAGGGAGCGUAGGCUGGAGAUUAAGUGUGUUGUGAAAUGUAGACGCUCAACGUCUGACUUGCAGCGCAUACUGGUUUCCUUGAGUACGCACAACGUUGGCGGAAUUCGUCGUGUAGCGGUGAAAUGCUUAGAUAUGACGAAGAACUCCGAUUGCGAAGGCAGCUGACGGGAGCGCAACUGACGCUUAAGCUCGAAGGUGCGGGUAUCAAACAGGAUUAGAUACCCCGGUAGUCCCUGUCUCUUAUAU
This 301-nucleotide ribosomal RNA is filed under the name uncultured bacterium. RNAcentral's name for it is "partial 16S ribosomal RNA". It matches the Rfam family "Bacterial small subunit ribosomal RNA", at positions 509 to 809 of the family's 1533-position model. The record is from RNAcentral.